This is a transfer RNA of Camelus ferus (Wild Bactrian camel), 72 nucleotides long. It matches the Rfam family "tRNA". Rfam says of the family: Transfer RNA (tRNA) molecules are approximately 80 nucleotides in length. Their secondary structure includes four short double-helical elements and three loops (D, anti-codon, and T loops). Further hydrogen bonds mediate the characteristic L-shaped molecular structure. tRNAs have two regions of fundamental functional importance: the anti-codon, which is responsible for specific mRNA codon recognition, and the 3' end, to which the tRNAs corresponding amino acid is attached (by aminoacyl-tRNA synthetases). tRNAs cope with the degeneracy of the genetic code in two manners: having more than one tRNA (with a specific anti-codon) for a particular amino acid; and 'wobble' base-pairing, i.e. permitting non-standard base-pairing at the 3rd anti-codon position. Lineage: Eukaryota; Metazoa; Chordata; Mammalia; Artiodactyla; Camelidae. The record is from Rfam.
GAGGGUAUAGCUCAGUGGUAGAGUGUGUGCCUAGCUUGCACGAGAUCCUGGGUUCAGUCCCCAGCAACUCCA